UGACCUCUCCAUAGCUAAGAUCCUUCCGUAGGUGAACCUGCGGAAGGAUCAUAGUUAUGGAGAGGUCAGCCUUCACCGGCCCCUCGUCACACUCUGGAUGCAAUGCGUUGAUUCGCUAGUCUUGGUCUCCGGACCUCGACACACACUUUUGUGAUCCAAUCUUUAAUGCCUAUUCGAAAUACAAGAGAAUUACAACCAGUAGCGUUGGAUCCCUUGGCACGUCAUUCGAUGAAGACCGUUGCAAAAUGCGAUAAGUGGUGUGAUAUGCAAGUCCAAAACUUAUACGUGAACCAUCGAAUUGUUGAACGCACUGCAUCGAGCCUUACCCAGGAACGAUACGCCCCAUUGAGCGUCAUUAUGUCUUCGCGACUUGUCAUUUUCACAAGUGACCUGUCCGGGUUCGGGAUUCACGGCUUAGGUCGCGCUUCCUUAGAUACAUGGACGUACACGACCGGAAGGUGUCCUUGUCAUGAAUGUCGAGGUGUGCCCAACGGUUGCCUGUACGAGAUGGAGUGCUCGCCAUUCCAUCAGAGUGCACUCGUGCAACUUCUACACAUGACCUCACGGGGGUGGGACGACCCGCUAGACUUAAGCAUAUUAAUCAGCGGAGGAAAAGAAACUAACAAGGAUCCCCUA
This 636-nucleotide ribosomal RNA is filed under the name uncultured Tulasnellaceae. RNAcentral's name for it is "eukaryotic LSU rRNA". The stretch from base 194 to 355 matches the Rfam family "5.8S ribosomal RNA". The record is from RNAcentral. Lineage: Eukaryota; Fungi; Basidiomycota; Agaricomycetes; Cantharellales; Tulasnellaceae.